CCAUUGCUGUGCUACAUAAAACUGUGUAGAAUUGACUAUUGCAAUUAAAGAACUGAGAUGAUUGCAAAUCUAUGGUGUCAGAACACAAGGAUGGGGAAGGUGAACAGCACGUAGCCUCGGGCCUGUUCCUGCUAACGCCGCUACAUUAAAGAGGCUAAUGUCGAACAUGCUCCCGGAUUGUGCCGUAAUGUUUCGACAAAUCAAAG
RNAcentral lists this long non-coding RNA (206 nucleotides) under Astyanax mexicanus (Mexican tetra). RNAcentral's name for it is "lncRNA (ENSAMXG00005024107.1)". The record is from RNAcentral. Lineage: Eukaryota; Metazoa; Chordata; Actinopteri; Characiformes; Acestrorhamphidae.